CACCACUAAAUAUUCUAUUUAUUGAUAUUGCUAAUAGAUUCCUAUUAAGAUUAAAAAAAAAUAAAGGAAAACACUAAUAAAUACAAUAGCUAUAGCUUUGUCGUCGCCUAGAGUUUACAUGAAAUCCUACAAAAAAUUUCCUUUUUUUUUUAUUUCCCUUUUCUGUCAUGAAAGGUUAUAGAAUAAAAAAAAAUCUUUGUAAAAUAAGAAUGAAUUAUUAAGAUUGGUAAGUUGCUAUAUUUAACCUCGUUGGUA
RNAcentral lists this microRNA precursor (255 nucleotides) under Medicago truncatula (barrel medic). Its description in RNAcentral is "miR2677 stem-loop (mtr-MIR2677)". Lineage: Eukaryota; Viridiplantae; Streptophyta; Magnoliopsida; Fabales; Fabaceae. The record is from miRBase by way of RNAcentral.